CCCUUAGAUGUUCUGGGCCGCACGCGCGCUACACUGAUGCAUUCAACAAGCCUAGCCUUGACCGAGAGGUCCGGGUAAUCUUUGAAACUGCAUCGUGAUGGGGCUAGAUUAUUGCAAUUAUUAAUCUUCAACGAGGAAUGCCUAGUAAGCGUGAUUCAUCAAAUCGCGUUGAUUACGUCCCUGCCCUUUGUACACACCGCCCGUCGCUCCUACCGAUUGAAUGUGUUGGUGAGGAGCUCGGAUUGGCAGCAGUUGGUGGUUCGCCACCGGCUAUUGCUGAGAAGUUCUCCAAACCGCCCCAUUUAGAGGAAGGAGAAGUCGUAACA
RNAcentral lists this ribosomal RNA (326 nucleotides) under uncultured eukaryote. RNAcentral describes it as "partial 18S ribosomal RNA". It matches the Rfam family "Eukaryotic small subunit ribosomal RNA", at positions 1470 to 1796 of the family's 1831-position model. The record is from RNAcentral.